Long non-coding RNA from Oncorhynchus gorbuscha (pink salmon), 381 nucleotides. RefSeq lists it as uncharacterized. The record is from RefSeq and is a predicted model, not a curated record. Lineage: Eukaryota; Metazoa; Chordata; Actinopteri; Salmoniformes; Salmonidae. The transcript has 3 exons.
AACACUCCAGGACAGAACACAGGCAAAAAACAGACUCAGGAAACGGGAUUCGUGACAGGGAGGUUUAGGGUUAAAAUAUAUGGGAAGGAUCAGGAAUGUUAGAGAUUUGGUCACUGGGGCGAUUUUGAAAGAGGGAGAUUAGAACCACAAAGUAAUAGGGUGACCGGUUUGAUGGCUGGAAAGGACAUUUUCCAUCGUUAAAGGAUAAAAGGGUCCGGUUAGCCCUGACCAUUAUCCGCUUCGAAUUCACCAACUCAAAGACGCUUGCCCGCUCCAUCAUAACCCUGUAAGUUUUCCCUCCCUGUGUGUAGAUCAAACGUCCUGCCUGUAAAUCCUGGGUAUGCCCACAUCAUUAAUUAAUAAGAUGUGUAGAAAACUGUA